Molecule: long non-coding RNA, 766 nt
Organism: Papaver somniferum (opium poppy)
Lineage: Eukaryota; Viridiplantae; Streptophyta; Magnoliopsida; Ranunculales; Papaveraceae
Exons: 2
Source: RefSeq, a predicted model, not a curated record
UAUCCAAAUACUUCAGGGUACGUCAGUAGUCUUUUGAUUCUCUUUUCUUCUUCGUACAGACGAAAACAAAUCACUUGAUUUUGAUUUCAUCCCAUCGAAAAUUCAAGCCACCAAAUCAGUUAUCACUCUUCAUCUUCAGAAGAAGUUUACAGUUGAAGUGCUGCUGACGAGAUGGUUACAGUACCUGAGUUGAAGACGAAGUUUGUAGCGGAGGUGGUGGCGAUGAGUCAGUGAGAUGCCCUGCUACUUAAGGGGAAGAAGAAGAAGAGAGAGCAGAGAAGCAAAAUAAGAAGAAGAAAGACACAAAAAGGAAUUAACUAUGUAUAUAUUGUUGUAACUGAUCAUUUUUCAAUCAAUUCACUGGCGAAAAAUGCCGAGUCCAGUUCGUCGUAGUCCAAGAAUACAAGCUCAGCUUCGCAUGGAAAUUGACAAUGAACGGCAACAACAAAGAGAUAUUCGAUUGAACAACCGCCAAAUUUUCAGAAAAGGAAAAAUGAGCGGCAAUGACUGAAGCUGAAAGGCAAGAGCUUGUUCAAAAAUGACGCCACACUCAUCUUAUGCGGAAAACACGAGAUCGACUUGCUAACAAAGAUGGUCUUGAGACAUCAACAAGUUCAGGUGAGCGUGGCAUGAAAUGUAUAAUUGUUCUUUGCUGUAGUGCAGUAUAAUGUCAAUGGUAUAAUUCUUAUUGGUUGCAAGAAAUGAACAAGUUUUUGAUUGAAAAAAUAUUAUUAUUAAAUGAUAAAUUCAAAUUUAUUUGUGAUUA